AGCAGUAGCCACGGUAAUACGUAGGUGGCAAGCGUUGCUCGGAAUUACUGGGCGUAAAGGGAGCGUAGGCGGACAUUUAAGUCAGGGGUGAAAUCCCAGAGCUCAACUCCGGAACUGCCUUUGAUACUGGGUGUCUUGAGUGUGAUAGAGGUAUGUGGAACUCCGAGUGUAGAGGUGAAAUUCGUAGAUAUUCGGAAGAACACCAGUGGCGAAGGCGACAUACUGGAUCAUUACUGACGCUGAGGCUCGAAAGCGUGGGGAGCAAACAGGAUUAGAUACCCGAGUAGUCCCUGUCUCUUAUAC
RNAcentral lists this ribosomal RNA (303 nucleotides) under uncultured bacterium. Its description in RNAcentral is "partial 16S ribosomal RNA". It matches the Rfam family "Bacterial small subunit ribosomal RNA", at positions 507 to 807 of the family's 1533-position model. The record is from RNAcentral.